UGCGUAGGUGGCGGGGUAAGUUUGAUGUGAAAUCUCCGGGCUUAACCCGGAAACUGCAUUGAAUACUAUUCUGCUCGAGGGUUGGGAGGGGGGGACUGGAAUACUUGGUGUAGCAGUGAAAUGCGUAGAUAUCAAGUGGAACACCAGUGGCGAAGGCGAGUCCCUGGACAACUCCUGACACUGAGGCACGAAAGCUAGGGGAGCAAACA
Molecule: ribosomal RNA, 209 nt
Filed under: uncultured bacterium
Lineage: Bacteria
Description: partial 16S ribosomal RNA
Rfam family: Bacterial small subunit ribosomal RNA
Source: RNAcentral